GGUUUUUAUCUUCACCGGGCCUGCUCCUCUGGGACCUUAGCCAACUCUUCAAGAAGGAAUCAAACCGACUGAGAUGAAGACUUCAGAGAAAUGAGCAACCAAUAUUCAGGGAGCUGCCAGCUGCAGAGCUGCAGUGUGGAGAUAACAGGAAGCUCCAAUCACAGAGUCUUUCUCAAUCCGGCCUACAACACCCCUGAUGAGAGUCUUCCUGGAGUGGAGGAUGAGAGGGUGUUACAGACAUCACACCCGCUAUAGACCCCGGUGGAGCUCCUGACACCUGGCUUUCUGACAGUAACACUCCAGGUACAUCUUUCAUGGAUGCUUUUAUCAAUGACGGAGUCG
RNAcentral lists this long non-coding RNA (342 nucleotides) under Oryzias javanicus (javanese ricefish). Its description in RNAcentral is "lncRNA (ENSOJAG00000003869.1)". Lineage: Eukaryota; Metazoa; Chordata; Actinopteri; Beloniformes; Adrianichthyidae. The record is from RNAcentral.